Molecule: ribosomal RNA, 497 nt
Filed under: uncultured bacterium
Lineage: Bacteria
Description: partial 16S ribosomal RNA
Rfam family: Bacterial small subunit ribosomal RNA
Source: RNAcentral
GAUGAACGCUGGCGGCGUGCCUAAUACAUGCAAGUCGAGCGAACAGACGAGGAGCUUGCUCCUCUGACGUUAGCGGCGGACGGGUGAGUAACACGUGGAUAACCUACCUAUAAGACUGGGAUAACUUCGGGAAACCGGAGCUAAUACCGGAUAAUAUAUUGAACCGCAUGGUUCAAUAGUGAAAGACGGUUUUGCUGUCACUUAUAGAUGGAUCCGCGCCGCAUUAGCUAGUUGGUAAGGUAACGGCUUACCAAGGCAACGAUGCGUAGCCGACCUGAGAGGGUGAUCGGCGACACUGGAACUGAGACACGGUCCAGAGUACUACGGGAGGCAGCAGUAGGGAAGCUUACGCAAUGGGCGAAAGCCUGACGGAGCAGCGCGGAGUGAGUGAUGAAGGUCUUCGGAUCGUAAAACUCUGUUAUGAGGGAAGAACAAAUGUGUAAGUAACUAUGCACGUCGUGACGGUACCUAAUCAGAAAGACACGGCUAACUACGUG